AGCGAACGCUGGCGGCAGGCCUAACACAUGCAAGUCGAACGGACCCUUCGGGGUUAGUGGCGGACGGGUGAGUAACACGUGGGAACGUGCCUUUAGGUUCGGAAUAGCUCCUGGAAACGGGUGGUAAUGCCGAAUGUGCCCUUCGGGGGAAAGAUUUAUCGCCUUUAGAGCGGCCCGCGUCUGAUUAGCUAGUUGGUGAGGUAACGGCUCACCAAGGCGACGAUCAGUAGCUGGUCUGAGAGGAUGACCAGCCACACUGGGACUGAGACACGGCCCAGACUCCUACGGGAGGCAGCAGUGGGGAAUCUUGCGCAAUGGGCGAAGGCCUGACGCAGCCAUGCCGCGUGAAUGAUGAAGGUCUUAGGAUUGUAAAAUUCUUUCACCGGGGACGAUAAUGACGGUACCCGGAGAAGAAGCCCCGGCUAACUUCGCGCCAGCCGCCGUAACAC
Molecule: ribosomal RNA, 449 nt
Filed under: uncultured bacterium
Lineage: Bacteria
Description: partial 16S ribosomal RNA
Rfam family: Bacterial small subunit ribosomal RNA
Source: RNAcentral